This 722-nucleotide ribosomal RNA is filed under the name Burkholderia sp. RNAcentral describes it as "bacterial SSU rRNA". It matches the Rfam family "Bacterial small subunit ribosomal RNA", at positions 363 to 1073 of the family's 1533-position model. The record is from RNAcentral. Lineage: Bacteria; Pseudomonadati; Pseudomonadota; Betaproteobacteria; Burkholderiales; Burkholderiaceae.
UAUGGACAAUGGCGGCAACCUGAUCCAGCAAUGCCCGCGUGUGUGAAGAAGGCCUUUCGGGUUGUAAAGCACUUUUGUCCCGGAAAGAAAACGUCCGUGGCUAAUACCCGUGGCGGAUGACGGUACCGGAAGAAUAAGCACCGGCUAACUACGUGCCAGCAGCCGCGGUAAUACGUAGGGUGCAAGCGUUAAUCGGAAUUACUGGGCGUAAAGCGUGCGCAGGCGGUUCGCUAAGACAGAUGUGAAAUCCCCGGGCUUAACCUGGGAACUGCAUUUGUGACUGGCGGGCUAGAGUAUGGCAGAGGGGGGUAGAAUUCCACGUGUAGCAGUGAAAUGCGUAGAGAUGUGGAGGAAUACCGAUGGCGAAGGCAGCCCCCUGGGCCAAUACUGACGCUCAUGCACGAAAGCGUGGGGAGCAAACAGGAUUAGAUACCCUGGUAGUCCACGCCCUAAACGAUGUCAACUGGUUGUCGGGCCUUCAUUGGCUUGGUAACGUAGCUAACGCGUGAAGUUGACCGCCUGGGGAGUACGGUCGCAAGAUUAAAACUCAAAGGAAUUGACGGGGACCCGCACAAGCGGUGGAUGAUGUGGAUUAAUUCGAUGCAACGCGAAAAACCUUACCUACCCUUGACAUGUACGGAACCCUGCUGAGAGGUGGGGGUGCCCGAAAGGGAGCCGUAACACAGGUGCUGCAUGGCUGUCGUCAGCUCGUGUCGUGAGAU